RNAcentral lists this non-coding RNA (22 nucleotides) under Arabidopsis thaliana (thale cress). The record is from RNAcentral. Lineage: Eukaryota; Viridiplantae; Streptophyta; Magnoliopsida; Brassicales; Brassicaceae.
GGAUCCCUCGCGGGUGCACCGC